UUAUGACGCUACUGAAGAAGUACGCAGCUGACUACUACGUGCCAGCAGCGUCAGUAAUACGUAGCGAGCAAGCGUUAAUCGUACUACUGUAAUGAAGCGUACGCAGGCUGUUUUUGUAAGUAUGUCGUGAAAGCCCCGGAUCCAACUUAGGAAAUUGCGAUGAGACUGCAAGGCUUGAAUUUGGCAGAGGGGGGUAGAAUUCCAUGUGUAGCAGUGAAAUGCGUAGAGAUGUGGAGGAACACCGAUGGCGAAGGCAGCCCCGUGGGUCAAGAUGACGCUCAUGCACGAAAGCGUGGGGAGCAAACAGGAUUAGAUACCCUGGUAGUCCACGCCCUAAACGAUGUCUACUGUUGUCGGGUUUUAAUUAACUUGGUAACGCAGCUAACGCGUGAAGUAGACCGCCUGGGGAGUACGGUCGCAAGAUUAAAACUCAAAGGAAUUGACGGGGACCCGCACAAGCGGUGGAUGAUGUGGAUUAAUUCGAUGCAACGCGAAAAACCUUACCUACCCUUGACAUGUACGGAAGCUCGGAGAGAUCUGAGUGUGCUCGAAAGAGAGCCGUAACACAGGUGCUGCAUGGCUGUCGUCAGCUCGUGUCGUGAGAUGUUGGGUUAAGUCCCGCAACGAGCGCAACCCUUGUCAUUAGUUGCUACGCAAGAGCACUCUAAUGAGACUGCCGGUGACAAACCGGAGGAAGGUGGGGAUGACGUCAAGUCCUCAUGGCCCUUAUGGGUAGGGCUUCACACGUCAUACAAUGGUACAUACAGAGGGCCGCCAACCCGCGAGGGGGAGCUAAUCCCAGAAAGUGUAUCGUAGUCCGGAUCGCAGUCUGCAACUCGACUGCGUGAAGUUGGAAUCGCUAGUAAUCGCGGAUCAGCAUGUCGCGGUGAAUACGUUCCCGGGUCUUGUACACACCGCCCGUCACACCAUGGGAGCGGGUUUUACCAGAAGUAGGUAGCUUAACCGCAAGGAGGGCGCUACCACGUAGAUUUUGAGGGGU
This 1000-nucleotide ribosomal RNA is filed under the name uncultured bacterium. RNAcentral describes it as "bacterial SSU rRNA". It matches the Rfam family "Bacterial small subunit ribosomal RNA", at positions 467 to 1481 of the family's 1533-position model. The record is from RNAcentral.